GAUGAACGUUAGCUACAGGCUUAACACAUGCAAGUCGAGGGGCAGCAUCAUCAAAGCUUGCUUUGAUGGAUGGCGACCGGCGCACGGGUGAGUAACACGUAUCCAACCUGCCGACAACACUGGGAUAGCCUUUCGAAAGAAAGAUUAAUACCGGAUGGCAUAGUUUUCCCGCAUGGGAUAAUUAUUAAAGAAUUUCGGUUGUCGAUGGGGAUGCGUUCCAUUAGGCAGUUGGCGGGGUAACGGCCCACCAAACCUACGAUGGAUAGGGGUUCUGAGAGGAAGGUCCCCCACAUUGGAACUGAGACACGGUCCAAACUCCUACGGGAGGCAGCAGUGAGGAAUAUUGGUCAAUGGACGAGAGUCUGAACCAGCCAAGUAGCGUGAAGGAUGACUGCCCUAUGGGUUGUAAACUUCUUUUAUACGGGAAUAAAGUUAGCCACGUGUAGUUUUUUGUAUGUACCGUAUGAAUAAGGAUCGGCUAACUCCGUGCCAGCAGCCGCGGUAAUACGGAGGAUCCGAGCGUUAUCCGGAUUUAUUGGGUUUAAAGGGAGCGUAGGCGGGUUGUUAAGUCAGUUGUGAAAGUUUGCGGCUCAACCGUAAAAUUGCAGUUGAUACUGGCGACCUUGAGUGCAACAGAGGUAGGCGGAAUUCGUGGUGUAGCGGUGAAAUGCUUAGAUAUCACGAAGAACUCCGAUUGCGAAGGCAGCUUACUGGAUUGUAACUGACGCUGAUGCUCGAAAGUGUGGGUAUCAGACAGGAUUAGAUACCCUGGUAGUCCACACAGUAAACGAUGAAUACUCGCUGUUGGCGAUAUACGGUCAGCGGCCAAGCGAAAGCAUUAAGUAUUCCACCUGGGGAGUACGCCGGCAACGGUGAAACUCAAAGGAAUUGACGGGGGCCCGCACAAGCGGAGGAACAUGUGGUUUAAUUCGAUGAUACGCGAGGAACCUUACCCGGGCUUAAAUUGCAACUGACGGAAUCGGAAACGGUUCUUUCUUCGGACAGUUGUGAAGGUGCUGCAUGGUUGUCGUCAGCUCGUGCCGUGAGGUGUCGGCUUAAGUGCCAUAACGAGCGCAACCCCUACGGGUAGUUACCAUCAGGUUAUGCCGGGGACUCUACCCGGACUGCCGUCGUAAGAUGUGAGGAAGGUGGGGAUGACGUCAAAUCAGCACGGCCCUUACGUCCGGGGCUACACACGUGUUACAAUGGGGGGUACAGAAGGCAGCUACACGGCGACGUGGUGCUAAUCCCAAAAGCCUCUCUCAGUUCGGAUUGGAGUCUGCAACCCGACUCCAUGAAGCUGGAUUCGCUAGUAAUCGCGCAUCAGCCACGGCGCGGUGAAUACGUUCCCGGGCCU
Molecule: ribosomal RNA, 1357 nt
Filed under: uncultured bacterium
Lineage: Bacteria
Description: bacterial SSU rRNA
Rfam family: Bacterial small subunit ribosomal RNA
Source: RNAcentral